UGAUCGGCCACACUGGGACUGAGACACGGCCCAGACUCCUACGGGAGGCAGCAGUAGGGAAUCUUCCGCAAUGGACGAAAGUCUGACGGAGCAACGCCGCGUGAGUGAUGAAGGCUUUCGGGUCGUAAAACUCUGUUGUUAGGGAAGAACAAGUGCUAGUUGAAUAAGCUGGCACCUUGACGGUACCUAACCAGAAAGCCACGGCUAACUACGUGCCAGCAGCCGCGGUAAUACGUAGGUGGCAAGCGUUAUCCGGAAUUAUUGGGCGUAAAGCGCGCGCAGGUGGUUUCUUAAGUCUGAUGUGAAAGCCCACGGCUCAACCGUGGAGGGUCAUUGGAAACUGGGAGACUUGAGUGCAGAAGAGGAAAGUGGAAUUCCAUGUGUAGCGGUGAAAUGCGUAGAGAUAUGGAGGAACACCA
RNAcentral lists this ribosomal RNA (419 nucleotides) under Bacillus sp. E2.Cu 2. RNAcentral describes it as "bacterial SSU rRNA". It matches the Rfam family "Bacterial small subunit ribosomal RNA", at positions 301 to 711 of the family's 1533-position model. The record is from RNAcentral. Lineage: Bacteria; Bacillati; Bacillota; Bacilli; Caryophanales; Bacillaceae.